AACAAGCUAGAAAUUAAUUGAAUGGUAUGGUAGGUGAAUGGUAUGGUAGGAAGCUAUGUAGUACGGUUGUAGUCAUAGCUACGUGGCACUGGCUUUAUCGUAAAAACUGAAAUUGAUUGAUGGGAUAUUUGAAGAAAUUGUAGAGCUAUGUCACUAUCUUGGGUCCACCUAGUGAUCAAAUGUUUAAAUAUUUUAAUUUAAUCAAUUAAAUCCGGUCACUAAUGUUGGAUGAUGAAGCCAUGCACACAAGUUAAAAAUCUCAUACGCGUCCUCUCCCUCCAGUCCCCCAUAUAUUCCGCGUGUAUUUGAUAGAAGAACAAAAAAUCAAAUGUUUGAUCAGUAGUAAAAGUGGCACUAUCUUUAUUGUGUGUGUUUUGAUAUAACCAAUGACUAUCAUGUAUAUUUUUAAUUAAUUUUUAUUAUCAGAUUUGUUCUGAGAAAUAUCUCUUAAAAAGGUUAUAAGUCAUAUUAGGAAACUAAUAGCAUAAUUUGAAUAUAUUUCAUAUUACAUCUCUAACCGGCAAAGAUAUACAACGAGCACACCAAACACAUAGAUCGAAAUUAGAGAUCAAGGAUUAAAUCGACGAAUCGUAACAAAAAAAGUCAUCACCGUCGAUGUUUUCCAGCAAUGGGUCAAG
Molecule: long non-coding RNA, 638 nt
Filed under: Oryza brachyantha (malo sina)
Lineage: Eukaryota; Viridiplantae; Streptophyta; Magnoliopsida; Poales; Poaceae
Description: long non-coding RNA (OBRA_LNC001437)
Source: RNAcentral